This is a long non-coding RNA of Phyllostomus discolor (pale spear-nosed bat), 1350 nucleotides long. RefSeq lists it as uncharacterized. NCBI's taxonomy places the organism in Eukaryota, Metazoa, Chordata, Mammalia, Chiroptera, Phyllostomidae. The record is from RefSeq and is a predicted model, not a curated record. The transcript is spliced from 2 exons.
GCCCGCCUCGGGCCGGGGCCGGCAGGAUGGCUCCAGGCCCCGCCCAUCCUAUCGCAGCCGAGGGUUUUGGAGGCGGCCAAGAAGCUAGGGCUGAAUGGUCAACUUUGGUUCCGAUCGCCUAUAAAAAAUAGCCUUCCCGCUGUUAGACUGCCCUUUCGUUCACUGAAUCGACUUUCACGACUGAUCAUAGCUUGAGCUUGCAGUGCUAAAAUGCAGGUCACCACUAUUGGACAGAUGGAGAUUCUAUUUAUGCUGUGAAUGACAGCUAUGCAGGAAGGGAACAUAUCCGAGGCUAAAUGAUGAUGACAGUGGCGGUGGUGACUUCAUCUUACCCCAAAUAUUUGCAUAUGACUACUGUCAAAUGCCACCUCCCCCCAAAAUCAACCAAAAAUAAAAAUGUAAACCACUCAUCCUGCGAACUUUAAUUCCACAAAAGAUGUAUGUAGAGGGACUAAAUCUCUGGUUUUCUAGCUGCUAAUUCAAAUCUCUUCUUCCUUUGCCUGAGCCAUAAAUAAGGUUUUAGCAUUCAAAUUCUGGAGAUGCUUAAAGAUGUAGCAACUUCUGCCAAAAUAUCAGACCUAUUAGCUCCUGGCUGGAACUGCUUCACCAGGAUUCUUUUCAAGACGUGGUUUCACCUACGGCUGCCCACUCCAAGUGUAGGGUUCCAUCAGCUCUAACACGCUGAGAGAAAUGUGCUUAUACUUCAUCACUUUCCCAAAAUAUACACCAGUAAGGCUUCCAAGGGCCAAAAGAACAAAACAGCCUUUUCCAGUAGUAGUACUGAAAUUUGCAAUUCGAUUCCUGGCUCUGUGUGCUCUGACUAAACGGAGGCUUUUGUUCUGACUUGUUGGAUCCUAGCAAAAGCUGUGUCAGGACAAGUUUCCAAGGGAUGGUGUAGAAAGGAUAUAUGGCUGAAGGGUUGCUGAGUGGACAAGAAGAGGCGAAGUUGAGAACCAGCGACUGAGUCAGCAUGUUAGCUGAGCAGUGUGCUUACAUGAGCGUGAGUCCAGGAGGCUGAAACUAGGUUACAGACUAUAAAGUGAUUCACAGUUCAGCAAUCGAUGUAGCCAUCGGUUACACAUAAGAAUGAACCAGAAAGCAUCAUACAAUCAUUUUACUCUGAGGUUAAUAAUUUUUGGUCAAGCUUCUUUUUCAGUAUCAUAGUUAAAGAAAAUAUAGAAGGAAAAGAGAUGUGUUAACAUUUAUCUUGCUUUUAAAAUGAGCCCAAAUGACAUAAGGCUGGAAGGAUUAAGGUAUUAAAAUUUUACCUAUACGUAUUUUUACAAGGUCUUAAGACAUCGAAUCAAAAUGAGAAUUCAGUGCACAAAAAUCUGGUUCGAUUGUGAAAAA